GACGAACGCUGGCGGCGUGCUUAACACAUGCAAGUCGAGCGGUAAGGCCCUUUCGGGGGUACACGAGCGGCGAACGGGUGAGUAACACGUGGGUGACCUGCCCUCAGCUCUGGGAUAAGCCUGGGAAACCGGGUCUAAUACUGGAUAUGACUCCAUGACGCAUGUUGUGGGGUGGAAAGCCUUGUGCGGCUGAGGAUGGGCCCGCGGCCUAUCAGUCUUGGUUGGUGGGGUGAUGGCCUACCAAGGCGACGACGGGUAGCCGGCCUGAGAGGGCGACCGGCCACACUGGGACUGAGACACGGCCCAGAC
This 309-nucleotide ribosomal RNA is filed under the name uncultured bacterium. RNAcentral describes it as "bacterial SSU rRNA". It matches the Rfam family "Bacterial small subunit ribosomal RNA", at positions 28 to 336 of the family's 1533-position model. The record is from RNAcentral.